UUUUUUUUCCUUUAAUAAGUUAUCUAUAUUGUUUAAAAAGUUAUUUAAUAAUUAUAUAAGGAUAAUAUGUUUCACGCUGUUUUAUUUUUUUUCAGGAAUGACAUGAAUAUUGCGUGAGAAAGUAUGUUGAAAAAAUAUUCCGUUUAUUUCCGUACGUAAUAUUACGUUCUGCAUAUUGCAAUGAGUCGGUUACGAUAUAUUUCUGCACUCCAUCGGAGAACGCAGAAGCAUAUUCUUAUAUACUUUUUUCUUAACUCUAUUUUAUCUAAUAGCGUUAGAUAGACUUCAAUACCAAACUAAGUCCUACUAAAUUCUAAAUAUUUUUUUAUUUAAAUAUAUAGAAAACACAAUCUGUUUUUCGUUGGAUGAUGAACAAAAUGUGUUUUAAUUUAUAUAUUUUUAAAUUUUUUUUUUUGGUAAGAUAGUAUAUUUUACCUUGAAAAUAGUUUAUUUUAUUAUGUUGGAAACGUAAUGGAUUUGAUA
RNAcentral lists this long non-coding RNA (483 nucleotides) under Ananas comosus (pineapple). RNAcentral's name for it is "long non-coding RNA (ACOM_LNC033825)". Lineage: Eukaryota; Viridiplantae; Streptophyta; Magnoliopsida; Poales; Bromeliaceae. The record is from RNAcentral.